CUCUAAGCACUCCUUAGGCGCUGGAUGAUGCAAUGCACAAUACAACAAACAUCCUAUUUAAAAGUGCUCCCCACACGGAAGCUUUUGUUUUUAAACUCUAAUUCAUUCAUUCAUAAAAACCAUUCGAAAACCUUUUUAAAACUGUUUCCCACACGGAAACUCUAUUUUGAAAACCGACUACCUCGAGGGGUAGAAAACCACGAUAUGUAAAUACAAGAAAAUCCGAUAUCCAUAAAAUCAAUAUCCAAAUCCACAAACCUUAGUUUACAUGCAUAAAUAACGAAAGCAUCCCCAGAUCUACCAAAACCAGAUCACCAACAUUCAAACAAUCAUAAAGAUCAGCUAACUGAACCAUAUAAACUAUCUAAACUAUAUCAACAGGACAGUAAGGGUAAAAACUAGACCGAAUAACCUGAGUCGGAAGCUCUAGCAACCACUACGAACGUGUCUCGCGUCUCGUCUCAACUCUCACUGCCGGCGAUACCUGAAAAAUAGUGGGGGAGGUGAGAACAUGUAAACAUGUCUCCCCUCCCAGUGGGUACCGCAAGCCGAUGAAGGCGAGGAGUACUCACCGGAUCAGGAAGAGCUAAACAACAGUACGGGUCAGUAGAAAUGCAGUAGCAAUAAUAAUGAAUGAAAGAGACAUAUAUAUGAAAGAAGUAUAACUAUCGCUACUAUAAUGGACAACUGAAUGUAUACAUGUAACAAGACUAUAGUAGCAAGACAAUGUAAUGAAAGAACUGAAGGUAUACAGGCAACAACCGCUACUAUAGUUAUAUGCGUCAACCGGACAAGGAGUCCAAAUAUACCCAAUCUGGUACCUGCUAUAUUGGUCCGCAGACCUCAAGCGCUGCCUGUCACUAACCUGCACUGACCUGAUUCACCCGCCCCACAGGACGACCCAUCCGGAUAAGUACACCUCCGAUCGGUGGCCAAACCGAUCCGGUGUCGUGAAUACCCCCAAGUGCUGUGACUAAGUCAUGAUGGUAUGCUCAAUACAAAAACCGGCUGAAACCGGUGCCUAGGCCGAAGCCAGAAACAAGGACGUACAACGCCGAACCUCGAUCAACCAGAUCGAAACACAUGACGAGAGAGUCAAUGUGUUACCUGGACCCAAGGUCCACAAAGUCCAACUGACCAGCAAGGUCACUGAUACGAAGUACGAGAACUGACCAACCAGGUCAACAGAUGCGGAAUGCACAACCAACCAACUAGGUCAACAGAUACUGAAUGCAACAACAGACCAACUAGGUCAACAGAUACAGAAUGCAACAACAGACCAACUAGGUCAACAGAUACGCAUGUAGAUAGAACUACUCUACUCCUACUCAGGAUACUAAGUAUGCAAACAACGAGCAGAGUAUAACGAAUAAACAAGGGUGCAAGGCUCAAUAUACUAUGCGAUAGUAACAACAGAAGAGCAGGGGUAAGAAACCGUCACCAAGCGUGCACCACUGUACCGACGUCGGAUCGAAGUACCCACCUAUACGGAUGUCGCGUCUAUCUCCUG
This 1510-nucleotide long non-coding RNA is filed under the name Ananas comosus (pineapple). RNAcentral describes it as "long non-coding RNA (ACOM_LNC010092)". The record is from RNAcentral. Lineage: Eukaryota; Viridiplantae; Streptophyta; Magnoliopsida; Poales; Bromeliaceae.